UACAGAGAGUGCGAACGUUGUUCGGAAUUACUGGGCUUAAAGCGCACGUAGGCGGCGCCGCAAGUGCGGGGUGAAAUCCCACGGCUUACCCGUGGAACUGCCUUGCAGACUGCGGUGCUCGAGGAUGGUAGGGGAGAGCGGAACUCCUGGUGGAGCGGUGAAAUGCGUAGAUAUCAGGAGGAACACCGGUGGCGAAGGCGGCUCUCUGGUCCAUUUCUGACGCUGAGGUGCGAAAGCUAGGGGAGCAAACGGG
This 253-nucleotide ribosomal RNA is filed under the name uncultured bacterium. Its description in RNAcentral is "partial 16S ribosomal RNA". It matches the Rfam family "Bacterial small subunit ribosomal RNA", at positions 524 to 776 of the family's 1533-position model. The record is from RNAcentral.